UAUCUCCAAAAUUCACGAUAUUUAUUCGAAAAACUUCUUAAUCGAAACAACUAAACCUUCUGAAAACUCUAAAAUUCAGACACUAGCCGAAAUAUCGUAGGUAUAGUUUUAUAAACACCUUUAAAAACGUUUUGAUGAUCGUAUAAUUGACGUUCCAUAAAAGAAGACUACCGACGUUUUAUUUUAUUUUAAUAAAGCUCCUUUUACAUUAUUGCUUUUCAAUAAAACUACACAUAUUCGACUCGGUUUUAAUUCGAAUUUCGUCCGUUUCAUUCUUCAAAAUUUCUAUUUAUCGAGUAUCUAUAUUGUACCAAGUCCUGACUGUAGUAAUUUAUUAUUAUUAUUAUUUUUUUUUUUUAUUCAUAACGAUGUAUAGUAGUCGUAUAUUAUGUACGAAACACAUCAACAACGUUAUAGGAGACAUCCGAAGUAUAGAAGACAUCCGAUCGCUGUAUAUAGUACGAGAGAUAUUACUAUUACAAUUAUUUGUACAAUCGUGAGUUUUCCAUUAGUGUGUGCAGUUCGGAUCGCACUGUCGUGUCGCCGUCACCGUAAUUGAAAUUCGCAUCGCUGCACUUGUGACUUUUAGUAGACCCUUCUCCUUCGCAUUUGCCUUCGAGUAACGUAGUCGUCACGCCACUCUAAACAACUGUACUGCCCUGUUGCAAUAGUGCCGUAGCCGGUGAUUUGACAAAUAGUAUACCACAGUGUGUUACUAGUAUCGAGCGUAAAUUGUUACAAAAAGGAAUUUUUUCUCAAAUUUUUGUUUUUACUUUUUUUCGCGUCAAAAACCACGUGACUAACAUGUUUAGAUAUUUGAAAAUGCUAAAAAAACUACAGACAUCAUGGUUUAAUUUUAUAUUUCAAGUAGUGCAAGGAACGUAUUGGUUUUCUUAUGAUAUAUAUUUUUUUUUAUUUUUUUUUUAUGUAUAAACUACUUUUCUAUCAGAAAUCUUACUCCAAUCAAAGACGUUAUAGGCAAUUUCUCGUAGCGUUUUGGGUGCUAUUGGUGAAUUGAGGAGGUUAUCUUUUUAUUUUCCUAUUAUUUUUUUCAAGAAAGCAGAAAUGCUGAUUAUUUUUGGUAAAAUUACCAAAAUACUCUAUUCCUGGUUACGUUAGCAUAAAAGGAAAAAGUGCGACUAAUAAUAUGUACUGUUCUUAGAAUGGUUUUUGUUAUUAAUAAUUGAUCGUCGCAUACAUAUGUAAAUAAAGUGACUCUAUUUAUCCUCCCUUUCAACAUACAUUUUAAAAUAAUGCCACAAGCAAUGAUAUUUACCCAUUAGCAGUAUCAUCCUUUUUUAAUAUUUUAUUUCAAAAUUCAAAACAUAAAUGGCCCUACUAUGUGUAUUGUUUGCAGUAUGAUAAAAUUGAAAAACUCAACUCGAUUUUACUCUAAGGCCUGCUAAAAUCUCGAUCCAAAAACAAGUGUGCCCGGUAUCGUUACCUAUAUAUUUAUACAAUUUUAUAUUAAAAAUAAUAUGUUAUAAUAUAUAUGUUUGUUCGUUUAUUUUUAUUUAAUAUGUGUACAAAUUUUAUAUAUUGUGUUUUUGUGUGGUUUAAGAUAAAACUUAUCUUAAACGUCCGUAUAUUACAUAUACUCAUUAACUAGUUGACUGCGUCUUAUAUUUCCUUCAUGUUUCCUAAAAAUUAGACGACACAUGAUUAUCAACAAGGGGUAUCUGAGAAGGAAAAAAAAAAUGUUCAUGUUUUUUUCCUAUACAAAUCAUUAAUUUGUCACCAAGUAUAUUCGUGUUUAUCGCAUAUACAUCGUAUUUAUCAUAAAUAAUAUCACAUAUAACGUAUUAUUUCUUAUUACAUACCUAUAUCUUCGACUAAGAUAUUUAGGACUAGCAAUGGAUGGCAGGGAAGGCGUGAGUGCCUGGACCCAAAAAAAUAUUGGUAGACAUGGAAGACAAGGGCUAUUUUUCCUCUAUGAACAUCUGACUUCAGCGCUUUCUUAUUAGGUACUUAUGGAUCUAAUAGGUACUUAAAUAGAGCGUACAUAACUAAAAUAUCCGCUAAGACGGCGCUGGGAGUCAUGAAGAAAAUGCUGCAAUGUCUAUAACUUUUUUCAACGACGAUUUUGAUGUUCCUUCUCAGCCCUGUAUACCUUAGUUCGCGAUCCAUAGUAUUAUUUACGACAGAUCAAUUUUUUUUCAUGGAAAAAACCAAGGCACUCAGACACUCUUUUUUAGCUAACUAAUAAUUUUUGUUCGAGACACAGUCCACUAGUUAGUAGGUCUAUAGUAUACUAUAUUAACAUAAUCGUAGGUAAUAAUAUUUCGCAAGUGUAUGAAAAACAAUUGUGUAUUCGGUAUUUUACUUCUCACGUGUAUAUCUUAUUAAUUAUUAUUAUCAAGUCAAGUCUGAGUCCCCGCACACAUCAGCUGUAUAAUACCAGUACGAGUGCCGCGUAAAAAUUGUUAUCAGAGCCAUAUUAUAAACGUAUAAUGUUAAAUAUAUUAUUGUUAUUUUGAUGCUCUUAUAAUGAUCAAUUUAUUGGUUUUUUUUUUAUUCCUAUUUCUUUGAAAUGAUUAUUCAUAUAAUAAAAUAUAUUAAAAAAUCUAAGGUCGAUGGAAUAUGAAUUAAAAAAGUUAUAAGUCAUAAUUAAUUUAAACUUUCACCUACUUGGCUAAAAACUUUUGAUUUUUCAUCAAGUAACAUUGUUUUUUUUAACACUAACUAAUAAAUAACGAACAAUUCGGAAUUCGUAAUAGUUUCACAUUAAGUCAAUUUCAAUUUAUAUUAAUUUUAAAAUUACGAAAUAUAUAAUCCAUACACUAUAGGUACAACUGUACUUUAUGCACCAUCGUCAUUGUAUUGUAAUAAUAUAGUUUUUAUUAAUUACGUUUCACUCAAUGAUGUGCGUAAUGUUUAAAAUAAUAUGUUCUAAACGUGUACUGUUUUUAUUUUCAAAAACUCUAUCGGUUUAUCCGAUAUUAUAUGGCAAUAACAAUUAAAAAAUAAAACUAAAAAAAGUCAACCAAACUCAAGCAAUAUGUUAAUUCAAUUUUCAAGGUGAUUUUUCACUUGACUCAGUUAAAAUAAUUAUUAUUGUUUUUUAACGCGUUUACUCGUUGCCUUUUUUUUUCGAUUAACUCUAACGUUGCCGAGCCUUGUGGAGGAAAUUAUAAACCUAAUUUAUAUAAAUACUACACCGCGCCGUUGUAGGUCACUCGUAUGAUAAUAUUAUACUCUGUUGUGUGCGUGAGGCAAACGAUUUAAACGAAGCGUAACAUAUUCUAAAAGUACAUAUUAUAAUAUUAUAUAGAAACGAAAAAGUUUGAAAAAAAACCUUAAGCGUACUACACAAAAAAGCUUGCGCAAUCGAAUAUCUAAAAUAAUUUGUUUUCCAGUGUAAAAUAAUUAUUAUUAUACUUGUAAUAUUUGUAUCCGGAUAAAAAAAAAUUAUACACAUAAUAUUAUAUGAAUAAACGAUAUAAUUCACAUAAUACUAUACACGAUGUAUCUGAAGGAUUUGACAAUUCUCUAUAAUGUAACUGCAUUGAACAUUUUCGUGUCCUCCAUAUACACUGUGUAUGUAUAAUAUUAUUUUAGUCGAUUAAAAAAAAAAAAAAGAAAAAAAAAGAACCGUACUCGUAAAAUAUUAUUAUUAGUAUAUACGUGUUAUUUAUUUAAGAUAUUAUUACUAUUGUAUGUGCAUCGUUUGUUUUACUUUACUGUAUUUAUGCUUUCCUAUACCUAUUAAAAUAAUAUUAAAUACGUGAUACCGUUUCGCUGAUAUGUUGUUGUCCUCGUAUAACACGCGUCUUUAGAUUCCAAUAUAUACUCGUAGGUAUGCUUGUUAACGGAUUUGAGGUGGAAAACACGCGACUCCACUUUGGAAUUUUUCUAGAUUUUUAUAUCUAUUUAAAUUAUGUACAGACACACCCAAUGCUGUAACUAUGGUGAAGGGGUCGGUAGUGAAUAUUUGAAUGUAAAAAUUUGAAACUUAUUUUCAGUACUUAAGAUACCAGUUCAUCCCACGUUCCAUGAAACUUAUUUAAAUUUUAGAUCUACUACUGGUAUGCGUUAAUUUCAAUGAAAUUAUGGUAACGAGAAAUAUUUUAGCUUAACGGACUUGGAUUGAAUAAGGAUGGCAUUGUUAUUAUUAUUAUUAUUAUUAUUAUUAUUAUUUAUUUUGAAGUGAAGUGCCAAAAUAAUGCAUAUUCCGAGCCUAUUUUCAAAAUGUUAACGCCCGUGAUAUGCAAUAAAAAACUUAUAAUUCCUUAAACGAAAAUACUAUAUUGAAUACUAUUCGAAUCAUAGGCGCCGACUACAUGAGUGUUCGGGAACCGCUGCCCCCAUUGAGAAGAUUUAGUUUCCCAAACCGUGUUUACGGAAUAAUAUACCUGAGAUUCGAGAACAUUGCUUAUAAUAAAAUUAUAAUGAGUAAAGAUAGAUAGAAUAAAUUUUCUUUAAAUUCAUGUGAUAUUAUUAAAAUAAAAUAAAAGUAAAUGAAUAUUUUUAAUUUAUUUCUUAUUAUAUAAUAUUUAGUACGUAUUUUAUCAUAUUUUACAUAUUUACACCAGUUUAAACUAAGACUUUGAGUGACAAAAAAUCUGAGAGAGAACCAUUAAAAUGAAAAUUGUUGAGCGUUUCCUUGUCAUAUAAUUGUUUAUAACAAAGAAAUUGAAAAGGAGACAGUUAAAAAUUUAGACAUAAGUAGUCCCUUUCCCAUUGUUUGUUUUAUUUUUAAAACGAAUAAAUUCAAAAAUUAAUAAUCUAUAUAUUUAGAAUCAUAAAAGUACGCAUACAUAAUAUUGUACGUUUUAAAUUAAUCGAAAAAUCAAGAAAAAAAAUCGUUUAACAGACAAUUUUUGUGUUAUAGGAAAAAAAAUCUUAAUGUUCAAAGUCAUUUGAGAAAAUAAAUAUGACUAUGCGAAUUAAGUGUUUCCGUUUAAAAAUAAAAUUUAAGUUUUAUCGCGCACGAGUGGGUGUUAAAUUUUGAAGGUAAGUUCGAAAUAAUAAUUUGACGGUUUAUAGAAACCUAGUUGCAGAUGUUACUGAACAAAUAAAAAAUUCCAUUUAAAUUUAAAGUCCACUGUGCUGAUAUAUUAUCGUGUUAUACCGUUUGAGUGCACACGCAUUGUAUAAUUUUAUAUUAAUGUAUAUUAGCCAUGUUUUUUUUUUUUUUUCAAUCGAUUAACGCGUAUAAAAAUGUACGGGAACGCAUAACAAUUGUUAUCAUGUGUUGUGAAUACCUAUACCUAU
Molecule: long non-coding RNA, 5214 nt
Filed under: Cinara cedri
Lineage: Eukaryota; Metazoa; Arthropoda; Insecta; Hemiptera; Aphididae
Source: RNAcentral